GCCCGAGCAGCGCGCGGGCGCCGUGCGCCAGCGGCGCGUGGUGGAGGAGCGGCUGGUGUAUUCGGCCGUGUUCGAUCUGUGAGUUCGAUCU
RNAcentral lists this transfer RNA (91 nucleotides) under Achromobacter animicus. RNAcentral's name for it is "tRNA-Ala". The record is from RNAcentral. Lineage: Bacteria; Pseudomonadati; Pseudomonadota; Betaproteobacteria; Burkholderiales; Alcaligenaceae.